Molecule: long non-coding RNA, 460 nt
Organism: Hydra vulgaris (swiftwater hydra)
Lineage: Eukaryota; Metazoa; Cnidaria; Hydrozoa; Anthoathecata; Hydridae
Source: RefSeq, a predicted model, not a curated record
UUUCCUUGCACAAAAAAAUAAAAUUUAAUAGCGUAAAGUUUGUGUUCUAAAAAUAGUUUUUUUUUCAGUAACGCAAGGCAUUUCGAGACUGAUAUUGCACAGAAACAAAGGAAAUUUCUUAAAAACGCUAGUGGUUUUGGGAUUAAUAUUUGGACAAACGAUCAAUUUUGCGUUACCAAAACGUACUCUAUUUCAAAUAUAUAAAUGAUAAACAGACAAAGCAGAUAUGGACGGCAAAAUACCAACCUAAUUUUUUCAUAGAUAUGAUCAUAACAAUAAUAGUUUUUAGUGGUUACAAAUUAAGUUACGAAAUCAGACAAUCAGGAUACGAAUGUAGAGUAUGAUGUUUUACAAACAGGUACAUGAUAAACAAGCGGAAGAUGAUAUUCUAGGAAGAUUUUUGAUAAUGCAUAAGUCAGAGAAAACAGUGAUUGAAAAUAUUUGUUUAUGAGUUUAUUAA